CCUACGGGUGGCAGCAGUCGAGAAUCAUUCACAAUGGGGGAAACCCUGAUGGUGCGACGCCGCGUGGGGGAAUGAAGGUCUUCGGAUUGUAAACCCCUGUCAUGUGGGAGCAAAUUAAAAAGAUAGUACCACAAGAGGAAGAGACGGCUAACUAUGUGUCAGCAGACGCGGUCAUACAGAGGUCUCAAGCGGUGUUCGGAAUCACUGGGCGUAAAGCGUGCGUAGGGAGUUUCGUAAGCCGUGUGUGAAAGGUGCGGGCUCCACCCGCGGAAGGCACAUGAUACUGCGAGACUAGAGUAAUGGAGGAGGAACCGGAAUGCUCGGUGUAGCAGUGAAAUGCGUAGAUAUCGAGAGGAACACUCGUGGCGAAGGCGGGUUCCUGGACAUUAACUGACGCUGAGGCACGAAGGCCAGGGGAGCGAAAGGGAUUAGAUACCCUAGUAGUC
This 446-nucleotide ribosomal RNA is filed under the name uncultured bacterium. Its description in RNAcentral is "partial 16S ribosomal RNA". It matches the Rfam family "Bacterial small subunit ribosomal RNA", at positions 338 to 795 of the family's 1533-position model. The record is from RNAcentral.